GCUCAGGAUGAACGCUGGCGGCGUGCUUAACACAUGCAAGUCGAACGAUGAACCGGUGCUUGCACUGGGGAUUAGUGGCGAACGGGUGAGUAACACGUGAGUAACCUGCCCUUGACUCUGGGAUAAGCCUGGGAAACUGGGUCUAAUACCGGAUAUGACUGACUAUCGCAUGGUGGUUGGUGGAAAGCUUUUGUGGUUUUGGAUGGACUCGCGGCCUAUCAGCUUGUUGGUGAGGUAAUGGCUUACCAAGGCGACGACGGGUAGCCGGCCUGAGAGGGUGACCGGCCACACUGGGACUGAGACACGGCCCAGACUCCUACGGGAGGCAGCAGUGGGGAAUAUUGCACAAUGGGCGCAAGCCUGAUGCAGCGACGCCGCGUGAGGGAUGACGGCCUUCGGGUUGUAAACCUCUUUCAGUAGGGAAGAAGCGAAAGUGACGGUACCUGCAGAAGAAGCGCCGGCUAACUACGUGCCAGCAGCCGCGGUAAUACGUAGGGCGCAAGCGUUAUCCGGAAUUAUUGGGCGUAAAGAGCUCGUAGGCGGUUUGUCGCGUCUGCCGUGAAAGUCCGGGGCUCAACUCCGGAUCUGCGGUGGGUACGGGCAGACUAGAGUGAUGUAGGGGAGACUGGAAUUCCUGGUGUAGCGGUGAAAUGCGCAGAUAUCAGGAGGAACACCGAUGGCGAAGGCAGGUCUCUGGGCAUUAACUGACGCUGAGGAGCGAAAGCAUGGGGAGCGAACAGGAUUAGAUACCCUGGUAGUCCAUGCCGUAAACGUUGGGCACUAGGUGUGGGGGACAUUCCACGUUUUCCGCGCCGUAGCUAACGCAUUAAGUGCCCCGCCUGGGGAGUACGGCCGCAAGGCUAAAACUCAAAGGAAUUGACGGGGGCCCGCACAAGCGGCGGAGCAUGCGGAUUAAUUCGAUGCAACGCGAAGAACCUUACCAAGGCUUGACAUGAACCGGACCGGGCUGGAAACGGGCUUUCCCCUUUGGGGCUGGGUUACAGGGGGUGCAUGGUUGUCCUCAGCUUCUUGCCUGAGAAUUUGGGUUAAUUCCGCAACUAACGCCACCCUUGUUCUAUGUUGCCCACACCUGAUGGUGGGGACUCAUAAGAAAACUGCCGGGGUCCACUCGGAAGAAGGGGGGGACCAAUUCCAAUCAUCUAGGCCCCUUAAUUCCUGGGUCUUCACUAUGCUCAUUGGGCCGUUACAUAUGGGUUGCAUCUGUGUAGGUGGAGCUAAUUCCUAAUAAAGUCUGGUUUUCUUCUGAUUUUGGGUCUGCAAACUCCGACCCCAUGAAGUCGUGAUC
Molecule: ribosomal RNA, 1306 nt
Filed under: Arthrobacter sp. RKEM 332
Lineage: Bacteria; Bacillati; Actinomycetota; Actinomycetes; Micrococcales; Micrococcaceae
Description: bacterial SSU rRNA
Rfam family: Bacterial small subunit ribosomal RNA
Source: RNAcentral